UUGAUUCACUUCUGACUCUUUUCUAACUAAAACAAUCCGCUCAAAUAUACAGUCUAAUAAAAUAAAAAACUGAGCUUUCGUCAGUCCAAACAAAUAAAAAAAUACAAAUCUCGUUUAUCUUAUUAUCUCUCCUGUUUCGAGACAAUUUUUCAAAAUCACUUUCCCAAUUUUAUGAACCCUAAUUUCGAAAAUUGUGUGGGUUCCUCUCAAAUCAACUCAAUAUUAGAGUUUUGUAGACUCGUUAUAUCAUACGGCGAGAAACAAGCUCUGUUCUCAUCACAAGACAAUCAGCUGCGUCACUAGAGCUUUUCCGGAUGAUGGAGCCAUAGAAGCAUCUUCUUCUCCCUCUACUUCUAGUUCUUGGCAAUGACAAGUAAUGGUAUCAAAAGCAUCUGUCGUGUCUUAGAGAAGAGCCGACGAGGACCCUCAACGCCCUGUUCGUUUUCGACGAUUGAUCUUCCUCUCCCACUGCCGGUUUAUCUCACCGCCUCCGUGAGAGAUUAUCUCGCUUUCUCUUCUUUCAAUUGAUGUCCUCUUCGAUUGGUCUCUCCUACGCAAUUGUAGUGAUCUGGGAGUUCGUCGUUCCGUGUCGUUGGUUUCUCCUCCGGUGCGUGGUGGUCUCCGGUUCCUCUGCUCUCCUCUUGCUCAAGAACGGUGUCUAAGUUCAGGUCUUGGGUCUCCGGGUCGGAUGUACACUGUCCAUGUUCCGGCUCACCGGAUAUAGUCUUGCUUGGGAGGCUCCUUACUUCUCUGUCCACCGUUGUUGUCUGAAGUCUGCGUUGAUGCUAUAAACACGGAUGGCUUCCAAGAAAAGCUGAUUCUUUUGAGAAGAUUGAGAAGGUAAGAGAAGAAUAUGUUUCUGGUUUUGUUCUUUGGCAUGAUGUUUGGGUGAUUAAAGUCCAUUGCUUUGUGUGUACAUUGAACCAGGAACCUAUUUGUUGUUUGAAAAAUAAAAAUUUGUCUUUAUUUUGAUAA
Long non-coding RNA from Brassica napus (rape), 975 nucleotides. RefSeq lists it as uncharacterized. The transcript has 2 exons. Lineage: Eukaryota; Viridiplantae; Streptophyta; Magnoliopsida; Brassicales; Brassicaceae. The record is from RefSeq and is a predicted model, not a curated record.